RNAcentral lists this ribosomal RNA (468 nucleotides) under Triticum aestivum (bread wheat). RNAcentral describes it as "partial small subunit ribosomal RNA". The record is from RNAcentral. Lineage: Eukaryota; Viridiplantae; Streptophyta; Magnoliopsida; Poales; Poaceae.
GCCAGCAUGGGCACGGCGCAGAACCUGGUCACCUGCCUCUACCAUAUGCAGCUCGCCGUCCGGCCCUGCGUCGUCUCCGUCACCUGGAGCAAGAGCCUCAUGGGGCAGGGCCUCAGCUUCGCCGUCGACGCCCUGUCCGGCCAGAGCCUCCGCAAGGCGGACAUCAAGCCCUGGCUCUUCUCCAAGAAGAAGGGCUCCAAGAGCCUCGACGCCGACGGCGCCAAGGUCGACAUCUUCUGGGACCUCUCCGCCGCUAGGUUCGGCGCCGAGCCGGAGCCGCUGGAGGGCUUCUACGUCACGCUGCUCUUCGACCUCGAGCUGGCGCUCCUGCUCGGCGACAUGAAGAAGGACGCCUACCGCAAGACCGGCGCCAACCGCCCGGCGCUCAACACCGCGUUCGUCGCCAGGAAGGAGCACAUUUACGGCAAGAAAAUUUACUCCGCCAAGGCGCAGUUCUGCGACAAUGGC